GACGAACGUUGGCGGCGUGCUUAACACAUGCAAGUCGAGCGGAAAGGCCACUUCGGUGGUACUCGAGCGGCGAACGGGUGAGUAACACGUGAGUAAUCUGCCCCUGGCUUUGGGAUAGCCACCGGAAACGGUGAUUAAUAACGGAUACGACCACUUCUCGCAUGGGAUGGUGGUGGAAAGUUUUUUCGGCCAGGGAUGUGCUAGCGGCCUAUCAGCUUGAUGGUGAGGUAAUGGCUCACCAUGGCUUCGACGGGUAGCCGGCCUGAGAGGGUGACCGGUCACACUGGGACUGAGACACGGCGCAGACUCCUACGGGAGGCAGCAGUGGGGAAUAUUGGACAAUGGGCGGAAGCCUGAUCCAGCAACGCCGCGUGAGGGAUGACGGCCUUCGGGUUGUAAACCUCUUUCAGCAGGGACGAAGCGCAAGUGACGGUACCUGCAGAAGAAGCACCGGCCAACUACGUGCCAGCAGCCGCAGUAA
Molecule: ribosomal RNA, 481 nt
Filed under: uncultured bacterium
Lineage: Bacteria
Description: partial 16S ribosomal RNA
Rfam family: Bacterial small subunit ribosomal RNA
Source: RNAcentral